Molecule: ribosomal RNA, 475 nt
Filed under: uncultured organism
Description: partial 16S ribosomal RNA
Rfam family: Bacterial small subunit ribosomal RNA
Source: RNAcentral
ACGUACACUCCUACGGGAGGCAGCAGUGGGGAAUUUUGGACAAUGGGCGAAAGCCUGAUCCAGCCAUGCCGCGUGCAGGAUGAAGGCCUUCGGGUUGUAAACUGCUUUUGUACGGAACGAAACGGCCUUUUCUAAUAAAGAGGGCUAAUGACGGUACCGUAAGAAUAAGCACCGGCUAACUACGUGCCAGCAGCCGCGGUAAUACGUAGGGUGCAAGCGUUAAUCGGAAUUACUGGGCGUAAAGCGUGCGCAGGCGGUUAUGUAAGACAGUUGUGAAAUCCCCGGGCUCAACCUGGGAACUGCAUCUGUGACUGCAUAGCUAGAGUACGGUAGAGGGGGAUGGAAUUCCGCGUGUAGCAGUGAAAUGCGUAGAUAUGCGGAGGAACACCGAUGGCGAAGGCAAUCCCCUGGACCUGUACUGACGCUCAUGCACGAAAGCGUGGGGAGCAAACAGGAUUAGAUACCCCUGUAGUCC